This 467-nucleotide ribosomal RNA is filed under the name uncultured bacterium. RNAcentral's name for it is "partial 16S ribosomal RNA". It matches the Rfam family "Bacterial small subunit ribosomal RNA", at positions 29 to 507 of the family's 1533-position model. The record is from RNAcentral.
ACGAACGCUGGCGGCGUGCUUAACACAUGCAAGUCGAACGGAAAGGCCCUGCUUUUGUGGGGUGCUCGAGUGGCGAACGGGUGAGUAACACGUGAGUAACCUGCCCUUGACUUUGGGAUAACUUCAGGAAACUGGGGCUAAUACCGGAUAGGAGCUCCUGCUGCAUGGUGGGGGUUGGAAAGUUUUGGCGGUUGGGGAUUGACUUGCGGCUUAUCAGCUUGUUGGUGGGGUAGUGGCUUACCAAGGCUUUGACGGGUAGCCGGCCUGAGAGGGUGACCGGCCACAUUGGGACUGAGAUACGGCCCAGACUCCUACGGGAGGCAGCAGUGGGGAAUAUUGCACAAUGGGCGGAAGCCUGAUGCAGCAACGCCGCGUGCGGGAUGACGGCCUUCGGGUUGUAAACCGCCUUCGCCUGUGACGAAGCGUGAGUGACGGUAAUGGGUAAAGAAGCACCGGCUAACUACGUG